Molecule: ribosomal RNA, 892 nt
Filed under: uncultured bacterium
Lineage: Bacteria
Description: bacterial SSU rRNA
Rfam family: Bacterial small subunit ribosomal RNA
Source: RNAcentral
AGAGUUUGAUCCUGGCUCAGGACGAACGCUGGCGGCGUGCUUAACACAUGCAAGUCGAGCGGAAAGGCCCUUCGGGGUACUCGAGCGGCGAACGGGUGAGUAACACGUGGGCAAUCUGCCCCUCGCUCUGGGAUAACUCCGGGAAACCGGGGCUAAUACCGGAUAUGACCACUUUAGGCAUCUUUGGUGGUGGAAAGUUUUUCGGCGAGGGAUGAGCCCGCGGCCUAUCAGCUUGUUGGUGGGGUAAUGGCCUACCAAGGCAGUGACGGGUAGCCGGCCUGAGAGGGCGACCGGCCACACUGGGACUGAGACACGGCCCAGACUCCUACGGGAGGCAGCAGUGGGGAAUAUUGCGCAAUGGGCGAAAGCCUGACGCAGCGACGCCGCGUGAGGGAUGACGGCCUUCGGGUUGUAAACCUCUUUCAGCAGGGACGAAGCGCAAGUGACGGUACCUGCAGAAGAAGCACCGGCCAACUACGUGCCAGCAGCCGCGGUAAUACGUAGGGUGCAAGCGUUGUCCGGAAUUAUUGGGCGUAAAGAGCUCGUAGGCGGCUUGUCACGUCGACUGUGAAAACCCGGGGCUCAACUCCGGGCCUGCAGUCGAUACGGGCUGGCUUGAGUGCGGUAGGGGAGACUGGAAUUCCUGGUGUAGCGGUGAAAUGCGCAGAUAUCAGGAGGAACACCGGUGGCGAAGGCGGGUCUCUGGGCCGUAACUGACGCUGAGGAGCGAAAGCGUGGGGAGCGAACAGGAUUAGAUACCCUGGUAGUCCACGCCGUAAACGUUGGGCGCUAGGUGUGGGACCCUAUCCACGGGUUCCGUGCCGCAGCUAACGCAUUAAGCGCCCCGCCUGGGGAGUACGGCCGCAAGGCUAAAACUCAAAGGAAUUGAUGG